This 102-nucleotide small nucleolar RNA is filed under the name Procavia capensis (Cape rock hyrax). RNAcentral describes it as "Small nucleolar RNA snR65 (ENSPCAG00000020557.1)". Lineage: Eukaryota; Metazoa; Chordata; Mammalia; Hyracoidea; Procaviidae. The record is from RNAcentral.
UUUAAAGAAAACUCUUCUGUAUGUAGAAUCCAUGCAGACUGUAUCUGUAAGGAUCAAAACAUCAUGAUUUCAGUUACUGUUCAAUGUUUUAUAGACCUGUGG